RNAcentral lists this ribosomal RNA (475 nucleotides) under uncultured bacterium. Its description in RNAcentral is "bacterial SSU rRNA". It matches the Rfam family "Bacterial small subunit ribosomal RNA", at positions 27 to 518 of the family's 1533-position model. The record is from RNAcentral.
GGACGAACGCUGGCGGCGUGCCUAACACAUGCAAGUCGAGCGAGGAGAUUCCUCGGGAUGAUCCUAGCGGCGACGGGUGAGUAACACGUGGGCAACCUGCCUCAUAGAGAGGAAUAGCCUUCCGAAAGGGAGAUUAAUACCUCAUAACAUUGCAGUUUCGCAUGGAACAGCAAUUAAAGGAGCAAUCCGACUAUGAGAUGGGCCCGCGGCGCAUUAGGCUAGUUGGUGAGGUAACGGCUCACCAAGGCGACGAUGCGUAGCCGACCUGAGAGGGUGAUCGGCCACAUUGGGACUGAGACACGGCCCAGACUCCUACGGGAGGCAGCAGUGGGGAAUAUUGCACAAUGGGGGAAACCCUGAUGCAGCCAACGCCGCGUGAGUGAUGACGGCCUUCGGGUUGUAAAGCUCUGUCUUCAGGGACGAUAAUGACGGUACCUGAGGAGGAAGCCACGGCUAACUACGUGCCAGCAGCUGC